This 227-nucleotide ribosomal RNA is filed under the name uncultured bacterium. RNAcentral describes it as "partial 16S ribosomal RNA". It matches the Rfam family "Bacterial small subunit ribosomal RNA", at positions 15 to 237 of the family's 1533-position model. The record is from RNAcentral.
GAUCCAUGGCUCAGGAUGAACGCUAGCGACGGGCUUAACACAUGCAAGUCGAGGGGCAGCACAGGUAGCAAUACCGGGUGGCGACCGGCGCACGGGUGAGUAACGCGUAUGCAACUUGCCUAUCAGAGGGGGAUAACCCGGCGAAAGUCGGACUGAUACCGCAUGAAGCAGGGGCCCCGCAUGGGGAUAUUUGCUAAAGAUUCAUCGCUGAUAGAUAGGCAUGCGUU